CCUACGGGAGGCAGCAGUGGGGGAUAUUGCACAAUGGGGGAAACCCUGAUGCAGCGACGCCGCGUGGGCGAAGAAGUAUUUCGGUAGGUAAAGCCCUAUCAGCAGGGAAGAAGAAAGGACGGGACCUGAGUAAGAAGCACAGGCUAAAGACGUGCCAGCAGCCGCGGUAAUACGUAUGGUGCAAGCGUUAUCCGGAUUUACGGGGUGGAAAGGGAGCGCAGGCGGCACGGCAAGCCUGAUGUGAAAGCCCGCGGCCCAACCGCGGGACUGCAUUGGAAACUCCCGGGCUGGAGUGCCGGAGAGGUAGGCGGAAUUCCUCUUGUAGCGGUGACAUGCGUCGAUCUUAGGAGGAACCCCAGUGGCGAAGGCGGCCUACUGGACGGUGACUGACGCUGCGGCUCGACAGCGUGGGGAGCAAACAGGAUUAGAUACCCCUGUAGUC
This 442-nucleotide ribosomal RNA is filed under the name uncultured bacterium. Its description in RNAcentral is "partial 16S ribosomal RNA". It matches the Rfam family "Bacterial small subunit ribosomal RNA", at positions 338 to 795 of the family's 1533-position model. The record is from RNAcentral.